RNAcentral lists this transfer RNA (76 nucleotides) under Ilumatobacter sp. Its description in RNAcentral is "tRNA-Arg". It matches the Rfam family "tRNA". Rfam says of the family: Transfer RNA (tRNA) molecules are approximately 80 nucleotides in length. Their secondary structure includes four short double-helical elements and three loops (D, anti-codon, and T loops). RNAcentral also lists the same sequence under 2 other names. The record is from RNAcentral. Lineage: Bacteria; Bacillati; Actinomycetota; Acidimicrobiia; Acidimicrobiales; Ilumatobacteraceae.
GCCCCCGUAGCUCAGUGGAUAGAGCAACGGUUUCCUAAACCGCAGGUCGCAGGUUCGAGUCCUGCCGGGGGCGCCA